RNAcentral lists this transfer RNA (72 nucleotides) under Patiria miniata (bat star). RNAcentral's name for it is "tRNA-Val". It matches the Rfam family "tRNA". Rfam says of the family: Transfer RNA (tRNA) molecules are approximately 80 nucleotides in length. Lineage: Eukaryota; Metazoa; Echinodermata; Asteroidea; Valvatida; Asterinidae. The record is from Rfam by way of RNAcentral.
GAUUCCGUAGUGUAGCGGUUAUCACGUUCGCUUUACACGCGAAAGGUCCCCGGUUCGACCCGGGCGGAAUUA